ACCUUUGUGGCGUAGUUGGUAACGUCUUGUUACGGUAAUUAUGUGUCCUAGGUUCGAGUCCCAGUUGGGGUC
Molecule: non-coding RNA, 72 nt
Organism: Halocaridina rubra (Hawaiian volcano shrimp)
Lineage: Eukaryota; Metazoa; Arthropoda; Malacostraca; Decapoda; Atyidae
Source: the annotation of a GenBank genome assembly